Molecule: long non-coding RNA, 394 nt
Organism: Pseudophryne corroboree (corroboree frog)
Lineage: Eukaryota; Metazoa; Chordata; Amphibia; Anura; Myobatrachidae
Exons: 3
Source: RefSeq, a predicted model, not a curated record
ACAUCUUCUGCAGCUGUCCUCUGACAGAGAUUUUCACAUUGAUUAUUGAAAAGUAGACUUUUAAAACAUUGAAGACAUCUAUACCAGGCUGGCAUCAUGUCUAAUAAAAAGCGAACAAAUAGUUCAAAGCCAGGAAUAAUGUUCUACUUUCACCACCAACCAAAGAAAGGAAAAACUGACAUUCCACUUCAAACACAGCUCCUCUUAUCUCCAGGCUCCAGAUGUGUAGCAGUAAAAAGCAUUGAUCCUGUGAAGCCAUUUACACCUUGCCACAAGAUCUCCUUGGUAUAUACUGGACAUCUUCUACCCUUGCUGGAUCUGUCACUGCAGCAUCCUAUAUCCAGAAUUCCCCUCUACAACCAGUGGACGCACUUCUAAGUUGACCACCCACAUG